This 1486-nucleotide long non-coding RNA is filed under the name Monomorium pharaonis (pharaoh ant). RNAcentral describes it as "uncharacterized LOC118646300, transcript variant X6". Lineage: Eukaryota; Metazoa; Arthropoda; Insecta; Hymenoptera; Formicidae. The record is from RNAcentral.
AUUUGUAAGAUGAGGGAACACUGUGUGAUUUCGAGGUUAACGUGAUAUUUCAUGGCUUGACAGUUUUAAUCAGUGGAUUUUAUUGUGCCUCAAGUAAUUCAACGAGAAACCUGACAUUUCCGUGUUAAAAGCAAACCGAUAAAAUAUUAAGAGUUUAUCUACUUGUGCUGGGAUUGUCGUGAUACAAAGAUGUUGACUAUCGCAAUAAAACGUGACUUGCUGUUCAAAACAUUGGGUAAAACAUAUUACAAUGAAAAAGCAAAUGAUAGCAAGAGUAGUUUUGACCAAGGUAUACAUGCGUCCGAAGAAAUUAUCUACAAGAUUGACACGCCUGCCAACAGAUAUUAUCUGUUGUGCUUGGAGCCUAAGUACUGGACUACUUAUAUCUUUGAAUAAAACAUACAAAAGAACUGUAAUUGGUAAUAAAAAGCAAAACACAUAAUGCACAUUACACAAGAACUGCGUAAAGGAUGUGUGCCAGGACUCUUUAAAUUUCACUUUUUAAAUGUUCCUCCACCUAUGGCUGAAUGCAUAUAUAUAAAGUCUUUUUUCUAAACAGGAUGUUCAUCCCACAUUAUAUGGCAAUAAAACCAAAGGAAUGGAAAAGAUUAUAAUGACUUCAAGAAUUCUUAAAAAUAAGUGGACAUUUGGUUGUUUCAAUUUUGAGAGACGUUACUUUGACGCAAGAUUCUUACAAUAGUUUUAUUAAUCGUCAAGAAAAGUUGCAUCAAAAUAUAGGAAGAAGACAUAGUCUGGUCUCUAUUGGCACUCAUGAUUUGGAUGCAAUUAAAGGUCCAUUUCUAUAUGAUGCUAGACACCAUCAAAAAUACAGUUCAAACCAUUUAAUCGAGAUAAGCAGUUUUCGCUAAACAAGUUGACUGACUUGAUUCGAAUAGAAAUGGCCCAGGCAGGACUUUCUCUUUGUGCUCACGUGAGAAUGUAGCGGACAAAUUGGGAUACGAAAUAGAAGAUGUGCCGGCAGUUCACAUAUCCGAUCCAAAAACUUUGGAGUUUCAAAUAAAUCGACCGAUACCGCGCGCUCUUAUUAAAACCUCGGAAACCAGAGUUCUAUUCUUGAUUUCGCCUUUUUAUUUGAACGAUACAUGUGUGUAAUAGAACGUAAACAGAUAUCGUCGUGCGGACGUUUAAAUAAAAAAAAAAUUUGCAAAGAAUACAAGAUAUUUCUUUAUUUAUUAUACAUUUUCUACGUAAUAUACGUGCAACGCGUAGCAGUUAUGAGAAAACAGGCAGAUAGCUAUACGGAUUGAUUUGCUCUUUUUCCAUCCACUUCAAGUACAGGUACUUUGCCAAAUGGCAUAGCUGAAAAAUGAUUUUAAGCCACAUGAAUGCAACAUAAUAUUGUUAGAAUAAGAUUUAUAGUAGAGAACCUAUCUGGAUUGUCAUUAUAUAUAAGUGUGUUAUAGUGAUAAAAUUUGUAGCAAUUGUAUAUAUACAUAUUCAUUAAAAAUCUUUUGGUAAUUAAUAA